AUUAAUUUAGUGUAUAUAUUGAGAGUUAUAUGUAAUAUUAUUGGGCAAAAAAGUAAUUGGAACAUCGUAGAGCUACUAUACUAUCGGAAGUAUAGAGAAUUUGAUGAUUUCAGUUUUUUGAUCCUUGAUUAAUAAUUGUAUGGUUGGAAUGAAUGUGAUCCCCAUAGGGUUGAGUGAUCUCCAUAGAAUAAUAAUAUUAAUUCAAUUGUUAUAAAUGACCAAAGAAGUUAAUCUAAGGGCCAAAAAGUCGAAAGUACUAGAUUCUCUAUAUUUUCGAUAGCAUAGUAGCUCUACUAUAUAUGUACCUCGCGUGUGUAAUGUACAUAACACAAUUAUAUCUUAUUGGAAAAAAAGAAAGGGGCUUUAAUUAGAAACCUAUCACUACCAUUGGAUUGUAUAUUUGUAUUGACAUGAAAAAUAAAAUAAUAAAUCAUCCAAUAAUAUUUUGUUCAUUAUUAGAAUCAAAAUUAAAAUGAAUAUCUAGAAUUUUAAGAAAGAAAUUUGGUUAAAAGGGAGAGAAUGAUAAAGCCAAAUAAAAAGGAAGGGAAAGUGUUUGUGAGAAACAGUUUCGAACGGUUUGAUUUGAAAUGAAUCAAUUCGAAAUUUAAAGUCGGAUGAGGUCGUAUACGGAACAGAUCAUUUCUAUUCCAUAGCAGAAUGAGUAUCGAAAUUCGAUUCUUAUAAAAUAAAUAAUAACUAUUGACAUUAAUAAAUUUUAUUUUGAUUUUCAUAAUCUAAAGUAGGAGAAC
Molecule: long non-coding RNA, 749 nt
Filed under: Ananas comosus (pineapple)
Lineage: Eukaryota; Viridiplantae; Streptophyta; Magnoliopsida; Poales; Bromeliaceae
Description: long non-coding RNA (ACOM_LNC032016)
Source: RNAcentral